GACGAACGCUGGCGGCGUGCUUAACACAUGCAAGUCGAACGGAAAGGCCUUUUCGGAGGUUCUCGAGUGGCGCACGGGUGAGUAACACGUGGGUGAUCUGCCCUGCACUCUGGGAUAAGCCUGGGAAACUGGGUCUAAUCCCGGAUAGGACCGCACUUUAGUGUGUGUGGUGGAAAGUUUUUUCGGUGUAGGAUGAGCCCGCGGCCUAUCAGCUUGUUGGUGGGGUAAUGGCCUACCAAGGCGGCGACGGGUAGCCGGACUGAGAGGUUGGUCGGCCACAAUGGGACUGAGAUACGGCCCAGACUCCUACGGGGGGCAGCAGGGGGGAAUAUUGCACAAUGGGCGCAAGCCUGAUGCAGCGACGCCGCGGGGGUGAUGACGGCCUUCGGGUUGGAAACACCUUUCGCCAGGGACGAAGCGUUUUGUGACGGUACCUGAAGAAGAAGCACCGGCUAACUACGUG
Molecule: ribosomal RNA, 463 nt
Filed under: uncultured bacterium
Lineage: Bacteria
Description: partial 16S ribosomal RNA
Rfam family: Bacterial small subunit ribosomal RNA
Source: RNAcentral